Molecule: small RNA, 521 nt
Filed under: fungal sp. B86-1
Lineage: Eukaryota; Fungi
Description: eukaryotic LSU rRNA
Rfam family: 5.8S ribosomal RNA (bases 171-324)
Source: RNAcentral
AAGGAUCAUUACCAAUCCCUGUGCAGCCUGGGCUCAUACCUAGGCUGGAUAGGCUUGAUACUGCCCCUGUAUUUUGCGCACUCAUGUUUCCUUGGUGGGCUUGCCUGCCAAAAGGACUAUACCAUAACCUCUUUAAUCUUGUAUCAACGUCUGAAUAAUAUAAUUAUUACAACUUUCAACAACGGAUCUCUUGGUUCUGGCAUCGAUGAAGAACGCAGCGAAAUGCGAUAAGUAGUGUGAAUUGCAGAAUUCAGUGAAUCAUCGAAUCUUUGAACGCACAUUGCGCCCCUUGGUAUUCCAUGGGGCAUGCCUGUUCGAGCGUCAUUUGUACUCUCAAGCUCUGCUUGGUGUUGGGUGCUUGUCCUGUCCCCUGCGGUAGGACUCGCCUAAAAGUAAUUGGCAGCUAGGUAUCCGGUAGUAGAGCGCAGCACAAAUUGCGAUGUACGCCGGCAUAAUCAGCAUCCAUUAAGCAUAUAAACACGCUUGACCUCGGAUCAGGUAGGGAUACCCGCUGAACUUAA